UACGUAGGGGGCUAGCGUUGUCCGGAAUCAUUGGGCGUAAAGAGCGUGUAGGCGGUCCGGUAAGUCCGCUGUGAAAGUCGGGGGCUCAACCCUCGAAUGCCGGUGGAUACUGUCGGGCUAGAGUGCGGAAGAGGCGAGUGGAAUUCCUGGUGUAGCGGUGAAAUGCGCAGAUAUCAGGAGGAACACCAAUAGCGAAGGCAGCUCGCUGGGACGUUACUGACACUGAGGCGCGAAAGCGUGGGGAGCGAACAGG
RNAcentral lists this ribosomal RNA (253 nucleotides) under uncultured bacterium. Its description in RNAcentral is "partial 16S ribosomal RNA". It matches the Rfam family "Bacterial small subunit ribosomal RNA", at positions 524 to 776 of the family's 1533-position model. The record is from RNAcentral.